AUUGAACGCUGGCGGCAUGCUUUACACAUGCAAGUCGAACGGCAGCGCGGGCUUCGGCCUGGCGGCGAGUGGCGAACGGGUGAGUAAUGCAUCGGAACGUGCCCAGUAGUGGGGGAUAGCCCGGCGAAAGCCGGAUUAAUACCGCAUACGACCUGAGGGUGCAAGCGGGGGACCGAAAGGCCUCGCGCUAUUGGAGCGGCCGAUGUCGGUUUAGCUAGUUGGGGGGGUAAAGGCUUACCAAGGCGACGAUCCGUAGCUGGUCUGAGAGGACGACCAGCCACACUGGGACUGAGACACGGCCCAGACUCCUACGGGAGGCAGCAGUGGGGAAUUUUGGACAAUGGGGGCAACCCUGAUCCAGCCAUGCCGCGUGCGGGAAGAAGGCCUUCGGGUUGUAAACCGCUUUUGUUCGGGAAGAAAUCCUCUGGGCUAAUACCCCGGGGGGAUGACGGUACCGGAAGAAUAAGCACCGGCUAACUACGUG
RNAcentral lists this ribosomal RNA (484 nucleotides) under uncultured bacterium. RNAcentral's name for it is "partial 16S ribosomal RNA". It matches the Rfam family "Bacterial small subunit ribosomal RNA", at positions 28 to 507 of the family's 1533-position model. The record is from RNAcentral.